UACGUAGGGUGCGAGCGUUGUCCGGAAUUAUUGGGCGUAAAGAGCUCGUAGGCGGCUUGUCGCGUCGGAUGUGAAAGCCCGGGGCUUAACUCCGGGUCUGCAUUCGAUACGGGCAGGCUAGAGUUCGGUAGGGGAGAUCGGAAUUCCUGGUGUAGCGGUGAAAUGCGCAGAUAUCAGGAGGAACACCGGUGGCGAAGGCGGAUCUCUGGGCCGAUACUGACGCUGAGGCGCGAAAGCGUGGGGAGCAAACAGG
This 253-nucleotide ribosomal RNA is filed under the name uncultured bacterium. RNAcentral describes it as "partial 16S ribosomal RNA". It matches the Rfam family "Bacterial small subunit ribosomal RNA", at positions 524 to 776 of the family's 1533-position model. The record is from RNAcentral.